This 460-nucleotide unclassified non-coding RNA is filed under the name Hevea brasiliensis (rubber tree). Lineage: Eukaryota; Viridiplantae; Streptophyta; Magnoliopsida; Malpighiales; Euphorbiaceae. The record is from RNAcentral.
AGCAGGCAGAAGGUGUUUAUAGGAAAUUGCUAUGCGAUCAGUCCAGAGAGAGUGAUUGAGAGGUUUCCUGCUCUAAAGUCUAUUGCUUUGAAGGGAAAACCUCAUUUCGCUGACUUCAACCUGGUCCCGCAUGAAUGGGGAGGCUUCGUUUACCCUUGGAUCGAAGCUUUCGCCCGGAACAGGGUCGGCUUGGAGGAGCUCCGGCUAAAGAGGAUGGUGGUUUCCGAUGACAGCUUGGAGUUGCUCUCAAGGUCUUUUGCCAAUUUUAAGUCUUUGGUUCUUGUUAGUUGUGAAGGGUUCACCACUGAUGGGCUAGCUGCUAUUGCUGCUAAUUGUAGGUGUCUUAGAGAGCUGGACUUGCAAGAAAAUGAAGUUGAGGAUCAUAGAGGCCAUUGGCUUAGUUGUUUCCAUGACAGCCAUACAUCUCUUGUAUCACUUAAUUUUGCUUGCCUCAAAGGAG